This is a long non-coding RNA of Ictidomys tridecemlineatus (thirteen-lined ground squirrel), 1501 nucleotides long. RefSeq lists it as uncharacterized. NCBI's taxonomy places the organism in Eukaryota, Metazoa, Chordata, Mammalia, Rodentia, Sciuridae. The record is from RefSeq and is a predicted model, not a curated record.
GGGAGGGGCGGUGGGUGGGGACAGUGGCGUGGGUGGCUGUGUAACUGCGCCCCCAAAUAUAUCUCUCUCCUCACGAAUUUUCUGCGGGGUUCUUCUGGGCGCGGGGCGGGGGCUUCUCUGCAGCCCUUCUCCUGGCAUGUCCUUCUGGGAGUGUAGUAUGGUCAUACGUGGUAUAUGGGGGUUCGGGGCUACCUAAUCUGUGCAGGGCUGCCGCGAACUUCAGCCCCCGCCACGCCGGCGACCUGGACUUUGGCGACAUCGAUCGGUCUGCAGAUCGACCUUGUCCAGCCAAGGGGAAGCGACGGGUAGGGUCGUGCGCCCACCUGAGAUCCCGUCCGUCCGCCUGCCCAGGGCCCCCGCUGUGCCUUGAGGUCCUGGGGAAGAAGAAUCCAUUUCAUGGGACACCCCAGUGUCUGUGGGUUGUUGCCGGUUAGUACUUCCAUCUACCGACCUAUCAUCUGUCUGUCUAAAUGUCCACCUAACAUCUCUCCACCUUCUGUCAAUCAUUUUGCACUAUUCUCAACUGAGCCUUUCAGUGGCUUGGUGCACCAUAAACUCUUUAUAGGGCCCAGAGUAUGAUAUUGUACAGUUCAUUAGUGCAGCCACUCGAUGAUGGAGCUCCCAGAACUCUCCUGUGGCUUUCAGGUUGAUAAAUGAAGCCUAAAUGCAGCUCCAUAGUGCCCUGACUGUGAGAUGGCUGAGCACGGGCAGAACAUGCUGGCUGAGGGCCAGCAGGGCACGGUGCAGAGCUGCACCUGAGGAAGGAAUGGGCAGCUGGAGAAUGGACCCAUGGCUCUCCUUGCUCCAGGGCUGUUCCAUACCAAGCAAGCGCCGGCGGCCCUGGCGCAGCAUUCACGGCUGGAGUGCAGAGCACACCCACAGACUGCAGAGCCCGGAGGAGAAUUCCCUCAUCGUGCCCGCUUGUGCCCACGUUAAGAUGGUCCCCUCGAAUUUACAUGGUGGGUGGCUGGACGGCCAGGCUGGAAGUGAAGUGUGCACCUUGACUCUGGUGUCCUAGUAUUGUUGGUGGGAAGUUUCUAGGUCCUUACAGGAAUGAGGCUCUGCCUUCUUCAGAGUAGCCACAUGACCAAUGCAGAUCCUUCAGCCCUGGUCAUCAUUACCAGGAGGACAUCCUGGUACCGAGUCAGCAGGUGGUGACUGACCCAGCUGGUGUGUCUUGCUCUACAGGCCAUCAGGUCCUGAGGGCUUCGCUGGUAUUCCUCCUGCUUAUUUCCUUUGAACCGACCUCCUCCAGUAAACCCAGAAAGCCUGUCUAUUAUCCGUCUCCACUGGGGCUGGUGACUCUGACUGUGGUGACAGCCAUCGCUGACCACACACUGGCUGGCUGACUAGCCCCACAUUGACUGAAGAAAUUAUGUGGGAGCACCUUGCCUUUGUUGAAACCUCUUCAUCUGCUUAGACUUCAUCCAUGUUAAAUAUUAAAUCAGUGUGUGCCCUCUAAAACCUCCAGCUAAAUAAACACGUUGGGAAAUGGCGUGGA